This is a long non-coding RNA of Coturnix japonica (Japanese quail), 3109 nucleotides long. The record is from Ensembl. NCBI's taxonomy places the organism in Eukaryota, Metazoa, Chordata, Aves, Galliformes, Phasianidae.
AUGUCAGGGUUUCAGUCACACUCUGAGGUGACGGGCUGGUCUGUGACUGUGCCAUUCACUGUGGGGUUGGCACAGAGGCUGGUCCCUGUCAGCGAUUGGUGGUUAGCGCUGCCAGUCAUCCGAUUUGCGGCCGACGAUUGGUCCGUCAGAAAAAAGGGGCGGUGCAUCGGCGCUCACCACACGGCGGCGGGCCGUUCUCCUCUCGAUGGUCCCGGCACAACAUGGCGGUCGCCGGCCGAGCCGGACCUUGAGCGCUGCGUCCCUCGUUCCGCCCGCGGGGCCGAGGCCGCCGGGGACACAGCUCGGCCCGGCCCUCCAUGCACGGAAGCUGUUGUGAAAGAAACCAACUAUGAAGGGUCCGAGGAGUUCGUGCUGCCUGUUCCCACAAUUACUAACAAGUAAGUGCUAUGUGAUACCACAGGUUGGAGAUAGACUUGGCUUCUAUUAAUGACAGUUGUCACACAGGUGUGAGGAACUCUUUAAUAAUUGCAGACAGAUCUCGGGGAUGAUGGACUGCUGCUCUCUGCUCCUUGGUGCAUCCCUGCUCAACCUUCAGCUUCACAAGAAAUUCUCAAAGAACUGAUGGAGGAAUCCUUAGAAACAAACAACUGGAAGUAUGAUUCAACCGCCCUUGGGGUUUUUGUCCCCUUCAGACCUGAGCUGUGAAUAUGAACCUUUAGAGUGCUGUUACUCUGAAGAACCUCAAGGAGCGGUAAGUGAGGGUGGUCAUUCUUUGUAAUGCUUUUAAUGGAGGAGGGCCUGGGAGGUGGAGGUGCUUUGACUUACAGAACCAAGAAAUGUGAUGCUUGAUUCCAGUGUGCCCUUGUAGCCAAAAAAGCCAAUGGCAUACUGGGGUGUAUUAAAAAGAGCGUGUCCAGCAGGUUGAAGGAGGUGAUCCUCCCCCUCUACUCUGCCCUGGUGAGGCCUCAUCUGGAGCACUAUGUCCAGUUCUGGGCUCCCCAGUACAAAAAAGACAUGGAUCUCUUGGAAAGAGUCCAGCGGAGGGCCACAGAGAUGGUGAAGGGCCUGGAGCAUCUCCCCUAUGAGAAGAGACUUAGGGAACUGGGUCUGUUUAGCCUUGAAAAAAGAAGGCUGAGAGGGGACUUGAUCCAGGUUUAUAAAUACCUGAGGUGUGGGAGCCAUAGUGGUGAGUCCGGUCUCUUUUCAGUAGUGCGUGGGGAUAGGACUAGGGGUAAUGGGAUGAAAGUACAGCAUAGGAAGUUCCGCACAAAUGUGCAGAAGAACUUCUUUACAGUGAGGGUGACGGAGCACUGGAACAGGCUGCCCAGGGAGGUGGUGGAGUCUCGAGUCUCCUUCUCUGGAGAUAUUUAAGACCCGCCUGGAUGCCUACCUGUGUGACGUGGUGUAGGGAGCCUGCUUUGGCAGGAGAGUUGGACUCGAUGAUCUCUAGAGGUCCCUUCCAACCCCUACAAUUCUGUGAUUCUGUGAUGCAAGUUGUUUGUAGGAACAUGAGCAAACUCACCUUGUGGAAAAGCCAUAUUGAUGUCUCAUCUGUGUCAAAGAGUUCUUUCCUUUGUCGAAUCUGAAUUGAUCCUAGCGAUAGGCCACACAGCCAUCCAAUGUGUUAUGUGGGUUUCAUCUGUGCAGGUGAUCCACUGGCAAGAGAAGCCUUAAUGAAUGUCAGUUGGGAAGUCCUUUGUCCCUUUGAAAUGACACCAGCAGACUCAUUGUAUUGCAGAGAGCGUGGGGGGAUGUUCACCCAGGUGUCUUCAAGAAUGAAUAGUAUAGCUCUAGUCUAGUGGCUGGCUGUUAUUAAGGACUCAAUGAGCAUCUAGAGUUUUCCAUAUGAGCACUGAUGAACCAAGAGGAGGUUUGUGUGCUUGUCUUAGGGGUGGGGAAGAGGUAUGGGAGGUUUGCAUGCCCUGGUCUAGGUGGAAGAAAACCUUUGCUGUGCCCAGCUAUUGCAUUACAGUAAGAUAUGAAGACAGAAGGGAGCUGCAGCAGAGUGGCUGGCUGCAAGCAACAAGCCAGUCAGUGCAGAGCAGGUAGUGGAGGAAGCAGCAGGGUCUCAUGCAGCAGGUCCAGGAGAGUCUUGGCAGCAGCAAGGGUUCUAAAGCCAGAUACCUCUCUUGUUCUUCAGCAUGCAGGUGUCAGGUAGUGAGGAAUCACUUUUGCAUCCUAGAAUAGUUUCUGGUUUCACGAGAUUUUUCUAGCAUGUAAAUAUAGCUUUAUAAUGUACAUUCUUGAUUGUUUUUAAUUUGAGUUUCUAUCUGUUGUUAAUUGUAGAUACCCAUUUUGGAAACAUAUGAGCUUUGUUAAGAAAAUAUACCGAGAUGGCUGACCAGUGUGCCCAAUAAUGCUGAAAGCAGGAGUGAUCUCUGCAAGAUACCUGGUGAUACUGGAGAGUGAUUAUGACAGCAGGGAGCGCAGUGCUGGCCAGUACAGUAAGUGGGAGAUGAAUGCAUAAUAGCUAGGGAAGCUGGGCGAGGGACUGCUGCUGGUUGUGGAAGAGAAGCUUUUAGGAGGUUUGUGAUGGUUCUCCUUAGGGUCUGGAGUUUGGACUCCUCGUGUUGAAUGGUGCAAUAAUGAUGGUAAUUGUAAGAAUGGGCUAGUGGGAGUGAAAUGUGCUGACAUGGAAUGCAGGCAGAAGGGAGGGCUGCAGAGCCUCCAGAAACAGUCUAUUGGAAAAUGAUGAUAGACGAGUGGUGAAAGUUUCUGCUUCUGAUCAGUGGCUUGUGAAUGGGCUGUGAGAGAUGGAAGAAAGGAGCCUGGAAAUGCCUGCAGACUGCUAUCCCCAUGUGGCUUUGUAAAAGGCAAAUGGAAUUUUACAGUGUGCCGAAGGACUGCCAUUACAAUGCAGGAAAUAGUGCUCUUGUGAAAUGCCCCACUCAGUUCUGAUUUCAGGUUUGCUGCAGGUAUGGUGCUGGUGGUGCUCCAUGCCUUGCAGGAGGCGAGGAGUAGGUCCUGUUUUCAUGCAGGCACUACUAAGCUAGCAAGAACAAUUGAUGUUGAUGGGUGACUUGAGCCAUUCUGUUCCAGGCAGUGAUUAAAGAAGAUCAAUUCAGGCUUGUCUUCUGUGUUUGUAGCAGAAGAAAGCACAGUUUGUGUCUCUAAUAAAACCGGCCUUUCUGAGAUGUGAAUGAGGCCU